AUACAGGGGGAUAACAGUUAGAAAUGACUGCUAAUACCGCAUAAGCGCACGGUUUCGCAUGGAACAGUGUGAAAAACUCCGGUGGUAUGGGAUGGACCCGCGUCUGAUUAGCUGGUUGGCGGGGUAACGGCCCACCAAGGCGACGAUCAGUAGCCGGCCUGAGAGGGUGAACGGCCACAUUGGGACUGAGACACGGCCCAAACUCCUACGGGAGGCAGCAGUGGGGAAUAUUGCACAAUGGGGGAAACCCUGAUGCAGCGACGCCGCGUGAGUGAAGAAGUAAUUCGUUAUGUAAAGCUCUAUCAGCAGGGAAGAAACAGACGGUACCUGAGUAAGAAGCCCCGGCUAACUACGUGCCAGCAGCCGCGGUAAUACGUAGGGGGCAAGCGUUAUCCGGAUUUACUGGGUGUAAAGGGAGCGUAGACGGCGAUGCAAGUCUGAAGUGAAAGGCGGGGGCCCAACCCCCGGACUGCUUUGGAAACUGUAUGGCUGGAGUGCAGGAGAGGUAAGUGGAAUUCCUAGUGUAGCGGUGAAAUGCGUAGAGAUCAUACAGAACACCGAUUGCGAAGGCAGCUUACCAAACUAUAUCUGACGUUGAGGCACGAAAGCGUGGGGAGCAAACAGGAUUAGAUACCCUGAUAGUCCACGCAGUAAACGAUGAUAGCUCGUUGU
Molecule: ribosomal RNA, 672 nt
Filed under: uncultured bacterium
Lineage: Bacteria
Description: bacterial SSU rRNA
Rfam family: Bacterial small subunit ribosomal RNA
Source: RNAcentral